CCUACGGGGGGCAGCAGUGGGGAAUAUUGCACAAUGGGCGCAAGCCUGAUGCAGCCAUGCCGCGUGUGUGAAGAAGGCCUUCGGGUUGUAAAGCACUUUCAGCGGGGAGGAAGGCGUUAAGGUUAAUAACCUUGGCGAUUGACGUUACCCGCAGAAGAAGCACCGGCUAACUCCGUGCCAGCAGCCGCGGUAAUACGGAGGGUGCAAGCGUUAAUCGGAAUUACUGGGCGUAAAGCGCACGCAGGCGGUCUGUCAAGUCGGAUGUGAAAUCCCCGGGCUCAACCUGGGAACUGCAUUCGAAACUGGCAGGCUAGAGUCUUGUAGAGGGGGGUAGAAUUCCAGGUGUAGCGGUGAAAUGCGUAGAGAUCUGGAGGAAUACCGGUGGCGAAGGCGGCCCCCUGGACAAAGACUGACGCUCAGGUGCGAAAGCGUGGGGAGCAAACAGGAUUAAUACCCCGGUAGUC
This 464-nucleotide ribosomal RNA is filed under the name uncultured Klebsiella sp. RNAcentral describes it as "bacterial SSU rRNA". It matches the Rfam family "Bacterial small subunit ribosomal RNA", at positions 338 to 795 of the family's 1533-position model. Lineage: Bacteria; Pseudomonadati; Pseudomonadota; Gammaproteobacteria; Enterobacterales; Enterobacteriaceae. The record is from RNAcentral.